CUUGUAUGGAAUAUUUAUUCAAGACAAAGAGAAGAAUAUUCUAGAUGCAAAAUCCAGCAAAUUUUGUCAUCAGAGUCAGCAUCAUUUUUUGACAUACAAACCAGAUUUUGAGUGGGUUCCAUCCUGCCUCUGCAGAAUGUUCUAAGGAGCAAGGAUCUACAGAAACUAGGACAACGGUCCCUCAGUGAGAUAUGUGCAUGGGCGCUUCUGAGGCUUCUCAUUCAUUACUCACGUGCUGGUCUCCAUGGACAUUUAGUUAUGCAGCAGACCACCUUAAAACACAUGGCAAAUGCCAGUAGGCAGCCUAGAGCCUGGAAACGGAUUUAGGCGGGGCCCCGGAUGUGGUG
This is a long non-coding RNA of Hyaena hyaena (striped hyena), 347 nucleotides long. RefSeq lists it as uncharacterized. NCBI's taxonomy places the organism in Eukaryota, Metazoa, Chordata, Mammalia, Carnivora, Hyaenidae. The transcript is spliced from 3 exons. The record is from RefSeq and is a predicted model, not a curated record.